RNAcentral lists this ribosomal RNA (253 nucleotides) under uncultured bacterium. Its description in RNAcentral is "partial 16S ribosomal RNA". It matches the Rfam family "Bacterial small subunit ribosomal RNA", at positions 524 to 776 of the family's 1533-position model. The record is from RNAcentral.
GACGAACCGUGCGAACGUUAUUCGGAAUCACUGGGCUUAAAGGGCGCGUAGGCGGGUCCGUAAGUCAGGGGUGAAAUCCCACGGCCCAACCGUGGAAGUGCCUCUGAUACUGCGGGCCUCGAGGGGGGUAGGGGCGUGCGGAACUCCGGGUGGAGCGGUGAAAUGCGUAGAUAUCCUGAGGAACACCGGUGGCGAAAGCGGCGCGCUGGAUCACUUCUGACGCUGAGGCGCGAAAGCCAGGGGAGCAAACGGG